UUUAUGGAGAGUUUGAUCCUGGCUCAGGAUGAACGCUGGCGGCGUGCCUAAUACAUGCAAGUCGAGCGAACGGACGAGAAGCUUGCUUCUCUGAUGUUAGCGGCGGACGGGUGAGUAACACGUGGAUAACCUACCUAUAAGACUGGGAUAACUUCGGGAAACCGGAGCUAAUACCGGAUAAUAUUUUGAACCGCAUGGUUCAAAAGUGAAAGACGGUCUUGCUGUCACUUAUAGAUGGAUCCGCGCUGCAUUAGCUAGUUGGUAAGGUAACGGCUUACCAAGGCAACGAUGCAUAGCCGACCUGAGAGGGUGAUCGGCCACACUGGAACUGAGACACGGUCCAGACUCCUACGGGAGGCAGCAGUAGGGAAUCUUCCGCAAUGGGCGAAAGCCUGACGGAGCAACGCCGCGUGAGUGAUGAAGGUCUUCGGAUCGUAAAACUCUGUUAUUAGGGAAGAAUAUAUGUGUAAGUAACUGUGCACAUCUUGACGGUACCUAAUCAGAAAGCCACGGCUAACUACGUGCCAGCAGCCGCGGUAAUACGUAGGUGGCAAGCGUUAUCCGGAAUUAUUGGGCGUAAAGCGCGCGUAGGCGGUUUUUUAAGUCUGAUGUGAAAGCCCACGGCUCAACCGUGGAGGGUCAUUGGAAACUGGAAAACUUGAGUGCAGAAGAGGAAAGUGGAAUUCCAUGUGUAGCGGUGAAAUGCGCAGAGAUAUGGAGGAACACCAGUGGCGAAGGCGACUUUCUGGUCUGUAACUGACGCUGAUGUGCGAAAGCGUGGGGAUCAAACAGGAUUAGAUACCCUGGUAGUCCACGCCGUAAACGAUGAGUGCUAAGUGUUAGGGGGUUUCCGCCCCUUAGUGCUGCAGCUAACGCAUUAAGCACUCCGCCUGGGGAGUACGACCGCAAGGUUGAAACUCAAAGGAAUUGACGGGGACCCGCACAAGCGGUGGAGCAUGUGGUUUAAUUCGAAGCAACGCGAAGAACCUUACCAAAUCUUGACAUCCUUUGACAACUCUAGAGAUAGAGCCUUCCUCUUCGGGGGGCAAAGUGACAGGUGGUGCAUGGUUGUCGUCAGCUCGUGUCGUGAGAUGUUGGGUUAAGUCCCGCAACGAGCGCAACCCUUAAGCUUAGUUGCCAUCAUUAAGUUGGGCACUCUAAGUUGACUGCCGGUGACAAACCGGAGGAAGGUGGGGAUGACGUCAAAUCAUCAUGCCCCUUAUGAUUUGGGCUACACACGUGCUACAAUGGACAAUACAAAGGGCAGCGAAACCGCGAGGUCAAGCAAAUCCCAUAAAGUUGUUCUCAGUUCGGAUUGUAGUCUGCAACUCGACUACAUGAAGCUGGAAUCGCUAGUAAUCGUAGAUCAGCAUGCUACGGUGAAUACGUUCCCGGGUCUUGUACACACCGCCCGUCACACCACGAGAGUUUGUAACACCCGAAGCCGGUGGAGUAACCUUUUAGGAGCUAGCCGUCGAAGGUGGGACAAAUGAUUGGGGUGAAGUCGUAACAAGGUAGCCGUAUCGGAAGGUGCGGCUGGAUCACCUCCUUUCU
This 1554-nucleotide ribosomal RNA is filed under the name Staphylococcus aureus. RNAcentral describes it as "16S ribosomal RNA". It matches the Rfam family "Bacterial small subunit ribosomal RNA". Lineage: Bacteria; Bacillati; Bacillota; Bacilli; Caryophanales; Staphylococcaceae. The record is from RNAcentral.